UACGAAGGGGGCUAGCGUUGCUCGGAAUCACUGGGCGUAAAGGGUGCGUAGGCGGGUCUUUAAGUCAGGGGUGAAAUCCUGGAGCUCAACUCCAGAACUGCCUUUGAUACUGAAGAUCUUGAGUUCGGGAGAGGUGAGUGGAACUGCGAGUGUAGAGGUGAAAUUCGUAGAUAUUCGCAAGAACACCAGUGGCGAAGGCGGCUCACUGGCCCGAUACUGACGCUGAGGCACGAAAGCGCGGGGAGCAAACAGG
This 253-nucleotide ribosomal RNA is filed under the name uncultured bacterium. RNAcentral describes it as "partial 16S ribosomal RNA". It matches the Rfam family "Bacterial small subunit ribosomal RNA", at positions 524 to 776 of the family's 1533-position model. The record is from RNAcentral.